UACGUAGGGGGCUAGCGUUGUCCGGAAUCAUUGGGCGUAAAGCGCGUGUAGGCGGCCCGAUAAGUCCGCUGUGAAAGUCCAGGGCUCAACCCUGGGAUGCCGGUGGAUACUGUCGGGCUCGAGUCCGGGAGAGGCGAGUGGAAUUCCUGGUGUAGCGGUGAAAUGCGCAGAUAUCAGGAGGAACACCAAUGGCGAAGGCAGCUCGCUGGGACGUGACUGACGCUGAGACGCGAAAGCGUGGGGAGCAAACAGG
Molecule: ribosomal RNA, 253 nt
Filed under: uncultured bacterium
Lineage: Bacteria
Description: partial 16S ribosomal RNA
Rfam family: Bacterial small subunit ribosomal RNA
Source: RNAcentral